GCCUUCGCCACCGGGGUGGAGGCCGUCUUGGUAUGACGGCCCGCGCGGGUUCGACUCCCGCCGAAGGCUCCA
Molecule: transfer RNA, 72 nt
Filed under: Longispora fulva
Lineage: Bacteria; Bacillati; Actinomycetota; Actinomycetes; Micromonosporales; Micromonosporaceae
Description: tRNA-Thr
Source: RNAcentral